UGCCCUAGUAACGGCGAGUGAAGCGGCAACAGCUCAAAUUUGAAAUCUGGCGUCUUUGGCGUCCGAGUUGUAAUUUGCAGAGGGCGCUUUGGCAUUGGCAGCGGUCCAAGUUCCUUGGAACAGGACGUCACAGAGGGUGAGAAUCCCGUACGUGGUCGCUAGCCUUUACCGUGUAAAGCCCCUUCGACGAGUCGAGUUGUUUGGGAAUGCAGCUCUAAAUGGGAGGUAAAUUUCUUCUAAAGCUAAAUACUGGCCAGAGACCGAUAGCGCACAAGUAGAGUGAUCGAAAGAUGAAAAGCACUUUGGAAAGAGAGUUAAAAAGCACGUGAAAUUGUUGAAAGGGAAGCGCUUGCAGCCAGACUUGCCUGUAGUUGCUCAUCCGGGUUUUUACCCGGUGCACUCUUCUACGGGCAGG
Molecule: ribosomal RNA, 415 nt
Filed under: Epicoccum sorghinum
Lineage: Eukaryota; Fungi; Ascomycota; Dothideomycetes; Pleosporales; Didymellaceae
Description: eukaryotic LSU rRNA
Rfam family: Eukaryotic large subunit ribosomal RNA
Source: RNAcentral